GUCGAGCGACGCAUACCGGAGGGGUAACCCACCGGUAUGACGGAGCGGCGAACGGGUGAGUAACACGUGAGUAACCUGCCCCACAGACCGGGACAGCCCAGGGAAACCUGGAUUAAUACCGGAUACCCUCGAAGGAUCGCAUGAUCUUUCGAGGAAAUGCCUUUGUGCUGUGGGAUGGGCUCGCGACUUAUCAGCUAGUUGGUGGGGUAACGGCCUACCAAGGCGUCGACGAGUAGCUGGUCUGAGAGGACGAUCAGCCACACUGGGACUGAGACACGGCCCAGACUCCUACGGGAGGCAGCAGCAGGGAAUCUUGCGCAAUGGGCGAAAGCCUGACGCAGCAACGCCGCGUGGGGGAUGAAGGCCUUCGGGUUGUAAACCCCUUUCAGGAGGGAAGAAAUUGACACCUCCAAAAGAAGCACCGGCCAACUACGUGCCAGCAGCCGCGGUAAUACGUAGGGUGCGAGCGUUAUCCGGAAUCAUUGGGCGUAAAGAGCUCGUAGGCGGUUCAGUAAGUCGGCUGUGAAAUUUCGAGGCUCAACCUCGAAACUGCAGUCGAAACUGCUGUGACUCGAGUCCGGUAGAGGAGAAUGGAAUUCCCGGUGUAGCGGUGAA
RNAcentral lists this ribosomal RNA (615 nucleotides) under uncultured bacterium. Its description in RNAcentral is "bacterial SSU rRNA". It matches the Rfam family "Bacterial small subunit ribosomal RNA", at positions 61 to 685 of the family's 1533-position model. The record is from RNAcentral.